CAGCCGCCGCGGUAAUACCGGCGGCCCGAGUGGCGGCCACUCUUAUUGGGCUUAAAGCGUCCGUAGCCGGGUUGGUUAGUCUCCCGGGAAAUCUGGCCGCUUAACGGUCAGAAUUCCGGGAGAUACUGCCAGCCUAGGGACCGGGAGAGGCCGAGGGUAUUCCCGGAGUAGGGGUGAAAUCCUAUAAUCCCGGGAGGACCACCUGUGGCGAAGGCGCUCGGCUGGAACGGGUCCGACGGUGAGGGACGAAGGCCAGGGGAGCAAACCGGAUUAGAUACCCGGGUAGUCCUGGCUGUAAACGAUGCGGACUUUGUGUCGGACAAGCUAUGAGCUUGUCCGGUGCCGGAGGGAAACCGUUAAGUCCGCCGCCUGGGGAGUACGGCCGCAAGGCUGAAAUUUAAAGGAAUUGGCGGG
This 414-nucleotide ribosomal RNA is filed under the name uncultured microorganism. Its description in RNAcentral is "bacterial SSU rRNA". It matches the Rfam family "Archaeal small subunit ribosomal RNA", at positions 459 to 872 of the family's 1478-position model. The record is from RNAcentral.